RNAcentral lists this ribosomal RNA (444 nucleotides) under Triticum aestivum (bread wheat). Its description in RNAcentral is "partial small subunit ribosomal RNA". Lineage: Eukaryota; Viridiplantae; Streptophyta; Magnoliopsida; Poales; Poaceae. The record is from RNAcentral.
AUGGUUAGGGCCCGAGGGGGGGGGGUCCCUAGAUGCCCACAAGACACCAGGGCACGCUAUAGCCCCCAAGUGUGCCAUGGUGGGUGGUGGGCAGCCAGCCCAUCUCCGGUGCCCAUCUUCUGGUAUAUGAGGUAUUUUGACCUAGAAAAAAAUAAGGAGAGGACUUUCGGGAUGGAGCGCCACCGUCUCGAGGCCGAACCUGAGCAGGAGCACUUUUUCCCUCCGGCAGAGCGAUUCCGCCGGGGAACUUCCCUUCCGGAGGGGGAAAUCAAAAGUCAUCCUCAUCACCAACAACCCUCUCAUCUUUGGGAGGCCAAUCUUCAUCAACAUCUUCAACAACACCUUCUCCUCUCAAACCCUAGUUCAUCUCUUGUGUUCAAUCUUUGUAUCGGAACCUCAGAUUGGUACAUAUGGGUGACUAGUAAUGUUGAUUACAUUUUGUAG